Molecule: ribosomal RNA, 254 nt
Filed under: uncultured bacterium
Lineage: Bacteria
Description: partial 16S ribosomal RNA
Rfam family: Bacterial small subunit ribosomal RNA
Source: RNAcentral
UACGAAGGGGGCUAGCGUUGUUCGGAAUCACUGGGCGUAAAGCGCACGCAGGCGGAUCGUUAAGUCAGGGGUGAAAUCCCGAGGCUCAACUUCGGAACUGCCUUUGAUACUGGCGAUCUUUGAGUCCGGGAGAGGUGAGUGGAACUCCGAGUGUAGAGGUGAAAUUCGUAGAUAUUCGGAAGAACACCAGUGGCGAAGGCGGCUCACUGGCCCGGUACUGACGCUCAUGUGCGAAAGCGUGGGGAGCAAACAGG